Small nucleolar RNA from Trichomycterus rosablanca, 137 nucleotides. The record is from RefSeq and is a predicted model, not a curated record. Lineage: Eukaryota; Metazoa; Chordata; Actinopteri; Siluriformes; Trichomycteridae.
UCUGGCCCUAAUCGAAGGCGUUCCUGUUUCCUCAUAGCAGGCGCGAUCACAAAAGAGCCUAAAUGAUCACUUUUACCGACGGUCGCUGUGUGACUGCAUCACUAGUCGCUUCAGCAACAUAAAGGAAAAGGACAAUU